AAACUUUUGCUGGAAAUAUAGCUCUUUAUAUUUUAAUAAUUUUAUUAUUUUAUACAUCGUAGAAAUUGCAUUCAUGUUUAAACACUAGUAGCCUACAUUGAAUAUUGUUUACACAUUAGUACAUUGAAAAUUGUUGAUUAUGAUUCUUUAAUUCUUAGCUUAAAACAAAAACACUUCAAACACAGUUCAAGUCGACAAGAGUAAAAAUAUAUAAAGUACUCCUCGAAAUUAGCUCGAAACGUACCGCCAUGUUGAUUUAGCAUUUUAGCCUGCGAACAGGCUGCUGCGAUUCUACGGUUUUGUCACUGAUCUAUAUGUUCUACACUGAAUAGUCAUUUCCGCAUAGUGCGCUGAUUGGCUAGGGACGGUCACAAGCUAAAAUACUAGAC
Non-coding RNA from Paramuricea clavata, 389 nucleotides. The record is from the annotation of a GenBank genome assembly. NCBI's taxonomy places the organism in Eukaryota, Metazoa, Cnidaria, Anthozoa, Malacalcyonacea, Plexauridae.